GAUAUAAUAUAUAUAAAUAACGUCCCCUUAAUGUUUGGCAUGUAGUACUUUUUAACAAGUUAAUUUACAGUUCAAGAACCAAACUAUUAAUUAUGGUUUACAGUGUGAUCAUGGAGGAAUGGGCAAACUUAAAUUGGAAGAGGAUAAAAUAUUGGUCCAUUUUGGGAGGAAAACUAAAGCAAAUGUGAAUAAACUUAUGGGCAAAGCAAGGUUGCGUACCUAUAUAUAAGGGCCUCAUCACUGGAGCUUUCUUGCACAACACCUUCUCUCCUCCAUGCCUCUGCAGAGACCUUCAGACUUAUUCAGAAUUCAGAGAGAGAAAGAGAGAAGGGCCAGCCGGUGUAGCAGCAAUGUCUUGGGGAAGCAUCCAAAGGGAUCGCAUUGAUCCUUCAUCGCUCUCGCUCGCUUCCAUGGCGGUCGUCGUCUACAAGCAGCUUGACGGAUCAUGCGAUCCUUUUGGAGGCUUCCUCUAGCCAUUAAAACUUCGAUCUCCGUCUUGAGUUCUUGAUAUUCAUGGUGCAUGUUCUUCAUUGUUGGGUUCAGACGUCUUGCGUUCUUAGCUGCAGUCGUCUGUGAGAUCACUAGGUAGCAGCUGGCGCCGUCAUUGAUGCAAAUUAAUCACCGAAUCCAAGAACUGUUAUAUAUAUGGUUGUAUUUGCAUCUAUAUUAAUUAUAUUGUGUAUUUUCAUCAGCUAGCUCCAGUUGAUCAUCCUGGCUGUACAAGAAUCCUUCUAGUGUUAGCACUGUCUAGCUAGGUUAAUUUCCUUUUUUUCAUGUUAUUAAUUGUAGUUCAGAUUGGAGCAAUAAUAAAGUGAUGAUAUGAUUAUUUUGGUUUUCUUGGAAUAUAUACGAUCAAUUAAUUUGUGAUAUAGAUCUAGCAUCUGGUGGAUUGUAAGUAUUUCUAAUUGAACUUUUACUCUAGAAAACAGUAAAAUAUACUUAAAGUGCAUAUCUAGAGAGCUAAUGAUUAAAGCACAGAAUUUAUGUAUAUAUGCACGAUAAUAUGUGAUCACAUACUAUAUAAUGGCAAAGUUUCACCUCAAGCACUCCACAUGCAUACUAGCUAUAUAUAUGAUCAGAUUAUGUGUUUGAAAUGCUAAUAUGCUUAUGACAUUUAUCUUAACGUGUUAUGGUUUGACAUAAUUAUUUAUACCACUUUUUUCGGGAAUAUGCAAAAGAUUUAUAUGUGUAUCAUUGCAAUUAAUACUUGAAGUUAGUUACAACAUUUUUAUAUCACUGAAAAUUUUGAUUUGGUGUACACUAAGUACGACUAAUAGGUUUAGACAUUUGCCUUUUACGUUCAACAAAUGACCACAACCUGUUGAAAUGUUUGGUUCUCCUUAAUUAUAUAUAUGGAGCAGCAUACAAAAUAUACAUAGUUUAUUAAGCUCCUGAUUAACAAAGCGUAAUAUAAAAGUCAAAUUAUUUUUUCUUAGUAAUAAACUCAGAUGCAUGCAUAGCUAAUAUGAGAUUCUGAACAUUGAUCCUGGACAGGGAAUACAUGUUUUACACGAGGAAUUUUUGCUGCUCAAAGUUGCGCACCUUUCCGCAAUUGGAGUUGCAUGAUCAAUAAUGAUGCUCAUAAGCAAGAGUUUUUGCCUACCCUCUUUCAAAAAAAAGAAAAGUUUGCUUAGCUAUAAGACAAAAGAUGAACAAUUACUAGGGAGUAGAGGAAGAAAAGGCCACCAUUAUACUCCCUCCGUUUUAUUCUAACCGUAGCUGUUAGUUCUUGUGUCCAACGUUUGACUGUCCAUCUUUUUAAAAAAAAUUAUGAAAGAGUUUUUAAAAAUAAGUCACGCAUAAAAUACUAUUCAUGUUUUAUCAUCUAAUAAUAAUAGAAUAUUAAUCAUAAAAAAAUUUAAAUAACACGGACGGUUAAAUGUUAGACAAAAAAUCCCACAACACACUUUAAAUGGGACGGAAGGAAGGAGCAUGUAGGUUUUGACCACCAGGUUUUGAAGCAUCUCCAAAAGUGAGAUUGCUCAUAUACUACAUCAGAGCCAGCAUCAUCGGCAAUUCGGCAUCCACAGCAAGCUGAUCUGUUGCACCAUCCAUUUCUUUGGGAUCUUAUUUGUUCACUGUACUCAAGAUUCGUGCAAAUAUCAGACAUAAUAUAUAAAUGAAGUUUUGGCUC
Oryza sativa Japonica Group (Japanese rice) is the source of this 2134-nucleotide long non-coding RNA. RefSeq lists it as uncharacterized. Lineage: Eukaryota; Viridiplantae; Streptophyta; Magnoliopsida; Poales; Poaceae. The record is from RefSeq and is a predicted model, not a curated record.